RNAcentral lists this ribosomal RNA (211 nucleotides) under uncultured bacterium. RNAcentral describes it as "partial 16S ribosomal RNA". It matches the Rfam family "Bacterial small subunit ribosomal RNA", at positions 1282 to 1500 of the family's 1533-position model. The record is from RNAcentral.
CUAGUCUCAGUUCGGAUUGGAGUCUGCAACCCGACUCCAUGAAGCUGGAUUCGCUAGUAAUCGCGCAUCAGCCACGGCGCGGUGAAUACGUUCCCGGGCCUUGUACACACCGCCCGUCAAGCCAUGGAAGCCGGGAGUGCCUGAAGUGCGUGAGCGCAAGCAGCGCCCUAAGGUAAAACCGGUGACUGGGGCUAAGUCGUAACAAGGUAGC